GCGGCACGCCUAACACAUGCAAGUCGAGCGAGGUACUUGUACCUAGCGGCAGACGGGUGCGUAACAUGUGGGAAUCUGCCUUUUGGUUCGGAACAACAUGGGGAAACCUGUGCUAAUACCGGAUAAGUCCUUACGGAGAAAGAUUUAUCGCCGAAAGAUGAGCCCGCACUAGAUUAGCUUGUUGGUAAGGUAAAAGCUUACCAAGGCAACGAUCUAUAGCUGAUUUGAGAGGAUGAUCAGCCACACUGGGACUGAGACACGGCCCAGACUCCUACGGGAGGCAGCAGUGGGGAAUCUUGCACAAUGGAGGAAACUCUGAUGCAGCGAUGCCGCGUGAGUGAAGAAGGCCUUUGGGUUGUAAAGCUCUUUUGUCGGGAAAGAUAAUGACUGUACCCGAAGAAU
Molecule: ribosomal RNA, 402 nt
Filed under: uncultured bacterium
Lineage: Bacteria
Description: bacterial SSU rRNA
Rfam family: Bacterial small subunit ribosomal RNA
Source: RNAcentral